CCCCGCGCAUCUACUCUUCUCUAUUUCACUCCUAUCUCACCUCUAUCUGUGUUGAUCUUCUUCGCCUUUUAUUUUACCACCUACACCGGUCACGACAACCGUAGAAAACCCACCAUCUCACUCUCUCUUAAUCCAGAAAACAAAAACCAUGUCACUCAACAAAAUUGGUGUUUUUGGUUUAACAGUUGUUGAGGGCCGACACCACCAACACCGGUCACUACCAUCGCCUCCACUCCUACGAUGUCGUCAACAACAUCCAUGGAAGACACCACUACAUUCACCACCAUCGAACAACCACCACCCGAUCACUUCUUCCUGAUACUCUCCCAUCUGAACGUUAAAGUUUAACCAUCAAAUUUCUCUUAUUUUAUCUCUUAAUCGUUGAUUUAGGGUUUUGGUUGUGGCAACCUUCGACCUUCUCUGCGUUUAUCUCUAAACAAAGACUUCUGAUUGAUGUGUAUUCAGCAAUUUAUCAAGAAGCAAGAGGAAUCUAUGUCACGAACAAUGGAUCCAGAAGGAUUAAAAGAAAUCAGUCUCAAAGUAGGAGGUCUUUGAAUCUUUUUUUUGCUUCAGGUUUUGUUGGUUCCUCUGGUAAUAUGUUUCUCUUCAUUUGGCUACUGUUGAUGGGUUAGACCAUGCCAUUUGAAUAUCUUAAUUUUGAGGAUGUCGUUCAUGUUCAUCUAUGCAAUUGCUUGCCAUAAACCACUAAUGGAGGUUUGGGGAGUUUAUUUUUUUUCCCUUUCAUUAAACUUUGUUUCAUAGAAUAUAAGAAAGAGUGUUUCAAAUAUAUGUGCACAAUUUCACGUUAAAAGUUUGUUUCAAACUUCACUGACAUUUGGAGAUGUUUGUUAUAUGCAGGUGCUGUUACUUUUCGAAGAACUAACUUUUCUUAGAAAAGAGUUAUGAACUGUCUUUUAAGGUCUUCAGUAAAUACGCCUCAUCUUUCUUGGGCUAAGUCGAAAAAAAAAAGUGAUGGAGCAGUAGUUGAGGUUUUUACAGCUAUAUGGUAAUGGAAAUGCAUUAACUUUGGUUUAAUGGUUUUCAAGAAGUUGCUACCUCAGUUAUCAUAGGAGAAAGGGUGGGGAGAGGGAGUUAGUUUUAAAAAAGCAUGAUACGGUAACAUUCUAUGUAUUUGGAAAGAACAUGAAAGGAUUUUCAAUAUUGGUUGGUGGUAUUUACCUAAUGCAUUUAGUGAAACUGGUCAACCUUGGGACGUGUAUGUUGGUCGGAUCAAUCAUUUUUUAUUACCCUGAUUAAAGGAUUGCUCAUAAAACAGUAUCUUAAUGAUUGUCAUCACUUCUUAUAGUUUACUUCAUUUGGGUAUGUAUUGAAUUUAUGCUAUGAGGUGUUGCAACCUAUGAGUCAUGAUAUAUGUUGCUCUACUCCCUAUGCUUUACUCCUUUUUCAAUGUUACAUAGUUAUGUAUCUGUUAAGUCUUAAUAUGAUAAUUAUUCUUGUGAGUAUUAUGACAAA
Molecule: non-coding RNA, 1473 nt
Organism: Lactuca sativa (garden lettuce)
Lineage: Eukaryota; Viridiplantae; Streptophyta; Magnoliopsida; Asterales; Asteraceae
Source: RefSeq, a predicted model, not a curated record